This 684-nucleotide long non-coding RNA is filed under the name Nicotiana benthamiana. Its description in RNAcentral is "long non-coding RNA (NBEN_LNC018401)". Lineage: Eukaryota; Viridiplantae; Streptophyta; Magnoliopsida; Solanales; Solanaceae. The record is from RNAcentral.
GGGUGAGGGAGAAGACAUCCAUAUCUGUGAACCAGUUCGGUUUCAUGCCGGGUCUCUCCACUACAGAAGCUAUCCACCUUGUCAGGAGGCUGGUGGAGCUGUUCAGGGAUAAGAAGAAGGACAUGCACAUGGUGCUUAUCGACUUGGAGAAGGCGUAUGACAAGGUUCCAAGGAAGGUGCUAUGGAGGUGCUUAGAGGCGAAGAGCGUGCCAGAAGCAUACAUCAGAGUAAUUAAGGACAUGUACGAUGGGGCUAAGACUAGGGUUAGGACGGUCGCUCCAUUACAGAGCGGGUGAUCGAGGUGAGGGUAAGGGAGAUGACAUCUAUAUCUAUGAACCAGUUCGGUUUCAUGCUGGGUCGCUCCACUACAGAAGCUAUCCACCUUGUCAGGAGGCUGGUGGAGCAGUUCAGGGAUAAUAAGAAGGACAUGCACAUGGUGCUUAUCGACUUGGAGAACGCGUAUGACAAGGUCCCAAGGGAGGUACUAUGGAGGUGCUUGAAGGCGAAGAGCGUGCCAGAAGCCUACAUCAGAGUAAUUAAGGACAUGUACGAUGGAGCUAAGACUAGGGUUAGGACGGUGGGUGGCGACCCAGACCAUUUUCCAGUGGUUAUGGGGCUCCAUCAAGGAUCGGCGCUUAGCCCUCUCUUGUUUGCCUUGGUGAUGGAUGCUCUAACCCGACAUAU